RNAcentral lists this long non-coding RNA (701 nucleotides) under Carica papaya (papaya). Its description in RNAcentral is "long non-coding RNA (CPAP_LNC016615)". The record is from RNAcentral. Lineage: Eukaryota; Viridiplantae; Streptophyta; Magnoliopsida; Brassicales; Caricaceae.
CUUCUUCUCCCAAUAAAUUACUCUAUCUCUAAACUUUUGAAAAAUAGAAGAAAUGGAAGUGUUGAGAGGAAGGUAAGGGGUGGGUAAUUUAUAGAAUUUUGGAACUGUUGGAUUCACGCCAAGUAGGGAAGACAGACUCCUUCGCCGUCGGCCGUGGUGCAAUGCCCAAGGUAGCAGUGGCGCACUGCCCAAUGAAGCAGUGCUUUGGCUAGUGCACUACAGGCUAGCCUGCAGGCGCACACACCUACUGCCACGCAAGUAGGGCCUAGACGCACUGGGUGCCAUUUACGCAGGUCCCAGGUGCACAAGGCCUAUUCGCACAAGCUUGUUGCACGAAUGGCACACGCAUAUUGUGAGGCACAUGUCAGCGCGUGAGGUGACGUGCGGAUGGCUUGCCUAUGAGCGAUAGGAUGCGCGGGCAGGUCCUAACCCCACGCCACGUGUACGCGAAAAAAACAUGCGCGUUGUGUGCAAGUCCCGUGCGCGCGGAGAAGAGGUGUGCCUUGUGCGCAAGUCCUGUGUGUGCGGGCAUGCGGACGCGACAUGCGUGCUGUGCGCACGUCCCGCAACCACUAUGCGCGCAGUCGCACGUGCACAAUGCUCAGUACCCGCGCGCAAAUGUCCCUCUCGCAGGAUUUUUCCCGCGAGCAUUUUUUUUUUUUUUUGCCGUUUUCCAAUUCAUUUUUUCUAAAUUUUCAUUU